Anthonomus grandis grandis is the source of this 14192-nucleotide RNA transcript. It is a transcript of the gene named protogenin-like, with no coding region annotated. The record is from RefSeq and is a predicted model, not a curated record. The transcript has 20 exons. NCBI's taxonomy places the organism in Eukaryota, Metazoa, Arthropoda, Insecta, Coleoptera, Curculionidae.
AAUGAGCAGAGCAGAAUCUAUUCGCGCUACGAUUGUGGCGUUUCAGCGUAGUUCGACAUCAGUUCCAUUCAGUUCCGAGUUUCGAGAAGUUGCGUCGUUGACUGACGUUCGGCAGGCACUUCCUUCACGUUCUCGUUUGUUGUGUUGUUUUAUUUAUUACGGGGUGAAAAACAUUUUUGAAAUCGGGGUGGUGGUGCGAGAACGACGGUGCCCCGAUCAAAAAAAAAGCAAGAAAUCCAAAUGAACACGGAUUUAUGGCGACGCGGACACUUCAACUCUGCCUUGUGUUUGCAGUAGGAUUUUACAGGGGCCCUGUGCCAGCUUCAGCAGGAUCAAACAGGGCCGUGCCGAUAGAGCCGGCAACAAAUCAGGCCAAUACCAGACCCAAUGUGACCCUAUGGUUCUCGGAGGAACCGAGUGACGUCAUCGUAACGCGUGGACAGGACGCCAUCUUAAGAUGCGUGGCAGAAUCUACCACAGGAAACGUCACAAUUGUGUGGCUCCACGAAAACUCCCCCGUGUCACCGGAGGACCAAAGAUGGCUGAUCCGGGGCUCAGUUUUGAAGGUGCUGACCGUCAACGGGGGUAAAAGGGGGUCCCUCGGGAAAUUUAAUACCGGCGAAUACAGUUGUUUGGCGAAGAACAGUUACGGGGCGAUUUUGUCUAGGGUCGCUAGGGUCAGGGUCGCUUCAAUAGACAAAGAAAUCACCAUAAAAGGUGACGAUACAGUGCUACAGUCGCAACCGUUGUAUCUACAGUGUAACAUCCAUUCGAUCCCCCUAGCGGAGAUCCACUGGGAGUUCAAUAAUCUACCUCUAACGAAUGACAAACGAUAUGUUCCUUUGCCUCAUGGCGCUUUGUUAUUAAGAAACACUAAUUUAGAUGACUCAGGAAACUAUAGAUGUGUAGCUACCAACUCGAUUCUCGAAAAAAACAAGACUAAAGACUUUCACGUAAACGUCUUAGUACCUGGCCAAGCAGCGAUGACUCCCUCUAUCAUUAUAGCAAACACUUCCAACAGUCGACUGUUGGUAGAGGGAGAUAGCAUCGAAUUUAUUUGUAUAGCCACUGGGUGGCCUUUGCCUACAGUAAAAUGGAUCAACAGUAAAAAUGCUUCGAUAAGUAACUCUUCUUCCAGUUCGAUAUCUUAUUUGACGUUUAAAAACGCUGAUAUAAACGAUUCCGACAAUUACACUUGUGUCGCUUCCAAUGGGAUAGAGCGAGUAAGCGAGACUGUCAACGUUCAAGUUUAUCAGAGGCCUUUUUUUAAUGUUACGCCGGUUUCGGUCGUUUCGCCAUCGGCUAGAACAGUCAGGAUGGAUUGUCAAGCCGUCGGGGUUCCUCAGCCCAAAAUAACUUGGCUCAAAGACGGACAUCCCUUAAAACCGGAAGUGCGAAUCAGAAAACAAGCGACUGGAAUUGUGUUUACCCAUACCCUUUCCACAGACACCGGUGUUUAUCAGUGCGUAGCGGCUAAUCCGGUGGGAAAAGUGUGGUCAACCGCCCAAAUCGAGAUAAAUAAUUCCCAAAGUCCCAGUCCGCCCGAAAACGUCCAAUGUAGGCCUUACGACGAGGAUAAAAUUUGUUUAACGUGGAAAAACCCGGCUAAUGCCACCGUGAAGGCCUAUAGCAUAUAUUCCUCUUAUAUCAAUUCCGAAGGUUUAGACGUACUGGGCGAAGAAUACUUAAUACCAGUGGACCCCACAAAGAAACCACCGAUAGCAGACAAUCCUCAUAAGAUGGUCGAAGGUUUGCAUCCGAACACUAAUUACACGUUUUUCGUGAGGUUAUAUACGAAUAAAGCGAGCGAUUACGCUAAGAAAGUAACGUGCCAACCAGGAUUAAAAGGGUCCAGAAAUCUGGAAAUAGAAACGAUAAAUAAAACGGCAUUGGCCCUGAAAUGGUCGGAAAUUAGUUCGGAUAUACUUUGUAAUGGAACUCGAGAUCCUUAUGUCGUCCAGUGGUAUUUGGACGGGAGUAGCGAGCACGUUUUCACUUAUGUAACGUCACAAAGGAAUUUCAGUUUGUUUGGUCUUCUACCUGGAAACGAUUAUUGCAUCAACGUAGUAACACAAAACAACCCAAAAGGCGAACUCUGUACCCUCUACACGAUGCCGAGCCUCCAUAGCGAAGAAAACGACACCAUGGACGUAUCAGAAGAACUGAGAGCACCGCAGUACUUACUAGAAGACAGUACGAAUUCGACCAGUACGAAAAUAACCUGGGACAGAAUUCCGGGGGCUAAAUUUUACAGUUUGUGUUAUACAGAGGUGGGAGCGGACAGGAGGUGCGAGCAGGGAGACUUUUUCAAAAGCUAUUCGACCAAGUUUACCGUGACAAAAUUAAAACCGGAUACGGAGUACGUGUUUAGGGUGAGGGCACACGAUUCGAGCAACGCUCCCGGCAUUUUGUCCGAUGAAUUGAGGGUGCGCACAAGAGGAGAUGUGCCCUCACCGGUAACAAACCUAAAAUAUCUCGGCCUAAACUCUACGACCGUGUGUAUCUACUGGCGCCCUCCGUUAAUCAAGAACGGCAAAUUAAAGAACUAUCUGGUCUCGUACACCACCGACAAGAAUUGGUCUUUGGAGGGACUGGUGGACGUGAAUAUAUCCGCUAGCGAACAAACCAGUUCGGACAGCUGUAAAGGUGACGAAAACGAUGAUGUGUUAUCGAUGGUGUUGACUAAUUUAUCGAGCGAUCACACGUAUUUGGUGAUGGUGAGGGCGGAGAAUGCGGUCGGAUUGGGAAAACCGUCGCCGCCGAUUUUCGUGCGGAUUCUGGACGUUUCCGGUGGGGCUGAUGAGAUGAACGGCUCGGAUAUGGUUGCCAGUAACCAAAGAUUCGGUAUAAUCCUGGGAGUCCUAAUUUCAAUCUGCUGCAUCAUGUGUUGCGUAGCCCUAAUUUUGCUGCGACGACGCUGUAUGAAACGAAGAGCGUCGGCCAGGGAUCGAAUGGACGCCGCGAGUAAUUAUUGCCCCGCGGUAGCCCGAUAUACGACGCAUUUGGGUACUGUACAAGUGAGGGCGGAACAGCCGUGUUCAUUGAACGAACACGAGGUGGAGCAUUUGGUGCCCGAAGAACAUACCUCUCAUAUACCGCCGGUUACUGUGGACCAUCUGGAUACUAAGGGAGCCUCCAACUUACCGAACGGGUACAUGAACGGUUCUCACAAGCACCACGGAGCGAACGGACACGCAUUAACCGGACACGUGCACAUAACAGAAAACCCUCAAUUUUACGCUAUCGAAUGUAACGGAAACAACCUGUCGAAAAACAAAUCGGAGCCACUUCUACGCCGCUACGAGGAAGACUCCAAUUCCAACCUGAAAACCUCGAGAUUCCAAGAGUUUUACAAACUUUUCGACGCGAAAAAGUUCAACAACAAAGGGUCACCGUACGCCUCCCCCUGUUCCAAAUCCAAAGACGCCUCGUUGAACACCACCCAGAUCACUUUCCUGGACGAUUCCGCUACCAGUAGGAGACUCAGCCCGUUAUUGGAACCUAACGGUUAAAAGAGAUCAAUCAGAGAUAGGAGAGACGGGUCUGAUUCGAAAUAGGUGAGCGAUCAUCGGAACCAGCAACGAAGUUAUUUACACAUUGUAAUCGUAACAUUCCAUAGAACGACGGUGCCAGAUUAUCGACCGGAGUAUACUUAAAACACAAAGCAACAGAGAAUCUCAUUAACUGGGUUUUAACAGCUAAUUCGAGUUUAAAAGAUUUAUGAAAUAAAAUUGUACCUGACCUUUAUAACAUAUACACUUAGUAACAUUUUGUAUAGUUUAAGAUUUAAUUCGAGAGUUGUUUGUAUUGGUGUGUGUGUGUGAGUGAGUGCGUGAGGGUAUUUGUUAAGUGUUGUUAUUAGGUGGAGUGAGUGAGAGGGUUGUUUAUUAUAUUUUGAUGCCCUAUAGAAGAAUAUUUAUUUAACCAUUGUAUAUGAGAAUUGUAAUGUAUUCUAGGCAUGAAAAAUGUGGACAAUCAUACUAAGAGCCCUUAAAACGACAAAUACCGAGCAUCCUUAUGUGGGGAAUCGCAAUUUACUAUUAUGUCCAAGAGCAAUCCAUAUUAUACCAAUUCUCGAAUAUAAGUUAUAUGGAAUAUUUAUUAUACCGGACAGACAUAAUUUUUUUUAAUGCCUUAACAUUUUUUUUUUACAGUUUUUAAUGGUAUCAAAAUAUAAUUUAUAACCCUGUAUAUAGAUUCUGGGGAAAAUAUGUCAAACAUCUAGGUUUUUGUCAAAACAUCAUAGAGUGCAAAAUAAUUGCAGAUUCGUUAACAUCCUUCUAGUAAAUUUGAAAAAUACCAGGACAAAAUUAAUUUUAUAAAUUCCUCGUGUAUUAAUCAAAAAAAGAUAAAUAUGUGUAAAGCUCUAGAUGGGUUAUAACAAUUUUUCUCAAAAAAUCGAUUGUCUUUUCUUGGUUUCCUGUAAUAUACAAUAGGUUUGUUUCUUCUUGGUUUAUGAACGUUAUUUUGUAAUUUUCUAGGCAUUGGUAGUAACUUCCAGGCAUUUAAAGCCACUUCUUCUUUUUAAACUGUUAAUCGUUUCUUAACCCAAUGGCGAAGGCUCCAUAUUAUCAAAAAGUUCUCGUUUCUAGUGGAAAGCUUUCAUGUAAGUACUGUAACUCUGCUUAAUUGCUUGACUAGUCGCGACCGAUUUACUUGUAUACUUUGUCUUGAUUAAAUAAUGAAUGCGCCCCUUAUUCUCAAUUCUAGGCAUAUAGGGUAAUUUUUUAAUAUAUUCCAGGCUCUUGAGACAAUUUUGUAAGUAUUUAGCCUGGGCAAAGUAAUAGAAAACUUCCAUAUUCCUGAAUAAUAGAAUAAAUUCUGCCAGGUCUUUGUUUCAGAUAGUAUUAGUUGAAAAAAGUUCAAUUUCGACAUCGUCCAAUUCUGCCGUACAAAGCAUCAAAGUGGCUUACUACAAUUAAGUUAUAUACGAAAAAAUCAAGUUCUGGUUUUUUAUUUUGUAUUAAUUCUUUCAUGCAUUGAUAUUAUUAAGAAACAAUACUGAUUUUGGUAAAAUAAAAAGAAUAGUGACUUGUAGGAUUCCAUAAAGAAUCAGUUGAUGUACAAAGACUUCUAUGCUUUGGAGGGCAAAAUUGUAAAAAUUGGUGAUUUAUCCAUUUUUUCAAUAAACAUGCCUGGCCAAAACUAAAAAUUCCAUCAACUGCCUGGAAGAAAUUAUUAAGUUUCCAGUUGUCUAAUAGAAAUCAAACCGCGAUUGCUGUUGUUAUUUGGUCUAGGCAUUCGAAGUCCCAUUUUACAUCUUCCAGAUAGUUUUUACAUCAUUCCAGCGUUUAAAAGCUAUUUUUUAUGUUAUGCAGGCUUAUAGAGUAAUAUGGUGUAUCUUCCAGGCAUUUUCUAUAUAUUUCACACUUUGGGGGUCAUUUUUUACUGAAGGGUAAAUUUUAAGGUAAUUCCAGGAUUUUCAAUUUUCUUCCUGGUUUGUCAAGAGUUUUCCUGUCAACCCGCUUGACAUUAUUUUGGAAUUUUCCAGGUAUUCAAAGCCACUUCUUCCUCGUUUUGUUCUGGAGGGUCAAUUUUGCAUCGUUUCUCGACCCAAUGCUAAUUACCAAAAAAAUUAUCAUUACUAGCAGAAAGAUUUUAUGUAAUUAACUCUAACUCUGCUUUGAUGUGUUUCAGCCCAAUUGUCUUGGUAGUCAAGGCCGAUUUCCUUGCAUACUUUGUCUUGAUUAAAUGGUGACGUCUUCCCUUUAUUAAAAUUCUCAAUUCCAGGCAUAUAGGGUAAUUUUUUAAUAUAUUCCAGGCUUUUGAGGCAAUUUCGUAAGUAUUUAUCCUAGGCAAAGUAAUAGGAAACUUUCAUAGUCCUGAAUAAUAGAAUAAAUUCUGCCAGGUCCUGGAAUGAAUCAUUACAGUUCAUGUUUCAAAUAGUAUUAGUUGGAAAAAGUUAAAUUUCGGAAUCACUCAAUUCUGCCAUACAAAGCAUCAAAGUGGCUUACUACAAUUAAGUUAUAUACGAAAAAAUCAAGUUCUGGUUUUUUAUUUUGUAUUAAUUCUUUCAUGCAUUGAUAUUAUUAAGAAACAAUACUGAUUUUGGUAAAAUAAAAAGAAUAGUGACUUGUAGGAUUCCAUAAAGAAUCAGUUGAUGUACAAAGACUUCUAUGCUUUGGAGGGCAAAAUUGUAAAAAUUGGUGAUUUAUCCAUUUUUUCAAUAAACAUGCCUACAUAAAACUAAAAAUUCCAUCAACUGCCUGGAAGAAAUAAUUAAGUUUCCAGUUGUCUAAUAGAAAUCAAACCGCGAUUGCUGUUGUUAUUUGGUCUAGGCAUUCGAAGUCCCAUUUUACAUCUUCCAGAUAGUUUUUACAUCAUUCCAGCGUUUAAAAGCUAUUUUUUAUGUUAUGCAGGCUUAUAGAGUAAUAUGGUGUAUCUUCCAGGCAUUUUCUAUAUAUUCCACACUUUGGAGGUCAUUUUUUACACCUUUUAAUAACUGAAGGGUAAAUUUUAAAUUAAUUUCAGGAUUUUCAAUUUUCUUCCUGGUUUGUCAAGAGUUUUCCUGUCAACCCGCUUGACAUUAUUUUAGAAUUUUCCAGGUAUUCAAAGCCACUUCUUCCUCGUUUUGUUCUGGAGGGUCAAUUUUGCAUCGUUUCUUGACCCAAUGCUAAUUAUUAAAAAAAUAUCAUUACUAGCAGAAAGAUUUUAUGUAAUUAACUCUAACUCUGCUUUGAUGUGUUUCAGCCCAAUUGUCUUGGUAGUCAAGGCCGAUUUCCUUGCAUACUUUGUCUUGAUUAAAUGGUGACGUCUUCCCUUUAUUAAAAUUCUCAAUUCCAGGCAUAUAGGGUAAUUUUUUAAUAUAUUCCAGGCUUUUGAGGCAAUUUCGUAAGUAUUUAUCCUAGGCAAAGUAAUAGGAAACUUUCAUAGUCCUGAAUAAUAGAAUAAAUUCUGCCAGGUCCUGGAAUGAAUCAUUACAGUUCAUGUUUCAAAUAGUAUUAGUUGGAAAAAGUUAAAUUUCGGAAUCACUCAAUUCUGCCAUUCAGCAUCAAAGUGGCUUACUACAAUUAAGUUAUAUACGAAAAAAUCAAGUUCUGGUUUUUUAUUUUGUAUUAAUUCUUUCAUGCAUUGAUAUUAUUAAGAAACAAUACUGAUUUUGGUAAAAUAAAAAGAAUAGUGACUUGUAGGAUUCCAUAAAGAAUCAGUUGAUGUACAAAGACUUCUAUGCUUUGGAGGGCAAAAUUGUAAAAAUUGGUGAUUUAUCCAUUUUUUCAAUAAACAUGCCUGGCCAAAACUAAAAAUUCCAUCAACUGCCUGGAAGAAAUAAUUAAGUUUCCAGUUGUCUAAUAGAAAUCAAACCGCAAUUGCUGUUGUUAUUUGGUCUAGGCAUUCGAAGUCCCAUUUUACAUCUUCCAGAUAGUUUUUACAUCAUUCCAGCCUUUAAAAGCUAUUUUUUAUGUUAUGCAGGCUUAUAGAGUAAUAUGGUGUAUCUUCCAGGCAUUUUCUAUAUAUUUCACACUUUGGGGGUCAUUUUUUACUGAAGGGUAAAUUUUAAGGUAAUUCCAGGAUUUUCAAUUUUCUUCCUGGUUUGUCAAGAUUUUUCCUGUCAACCCGCUUGACAUUAUUUUGGAAUUUUCCAGGUAUUCAAAGCCACUUCUUCCUCGUUUUGUUCUGGAGGGUCAAUUUUGCAUCGUUUCUCGACCCAAUGCUAAUUAUUAAAAAAAUUAUUACUAGCAGAAAGAUUUUAUGUAAUUAACUCUAACUCUGCUUUGAUGUGUACCAGCCCAAUUGUCUUGGCUAGUCAAGGCCGAUUUUCUUGCAUACUUUGUCUUGAUUAAAUGGUGACGUCUUCCCUUUAUUAAAAUUCUCAAUUCCAGGCAUAUAGGGUAAUUUUUUAAUAUAUUCCAGGCUUUUGAGGCAAUUUCGUAAGUAUUUAGCCUAGGCAAUUAAUAGGAAACUUUCAUAUUCUUGAAUAAUAGAAUAAAUUCUGCCAGUUUAGGUUUUGUUAUUUUGUUUUGUAUUAAUUCUCUCAUGCUAAACUUGCAUUGAUAUUGAUUGAUUAAAACUCAUAGUAAACUUUGCAUUGACACUAUUAACAAACUAUACUUGUUUUAUAAAAUAAAAAGAAUAGUGACUGGUAGAAUUUCAUAUAAACCAUUGAUAUACUCAAUUUUAACAAAAAAGUGAAUUAACCACUUUUAUGCUUUGGACGGCAGAAUUGUAAAAAAUCAAUGAACAUGCCUGGACGAAACCAAAAAUUACUUCAAUUGCCUGGAAGAAAUAAUAUAGUUUCCAUUUGUGUGGAUAUUAGAAAACAUACCACAAUUUCCUGGAUGAAAACUCGUAAGCUCUGACUUAAAAAUUAGAGAUUUUAGGCCAUAGCUUUAUUUGAGCUUUUCUUUCUUAUUCCGUAACGCCCUGUAUAAAAUAAGUACUGCAAUCUCCUGGAAAAAAUCAGUACAAUGCAUUAUUCCAGACAGUGUUGAAAAAGUGAACUUUUUAAACCAUUUUAGUGUGAAAAUUCUUGCAUUUUUUAGUUUUUUAGUAAACUGCCUGAAUGCAACGAGAAAUCAGUCCAACUUCCUGGAAGAAAUCACUACAACUCACUUAUCUUUCUAUUAGGUCUUGUGGACAUUCCAAAAAAGUUCUUUCACAUUUCUAGCAUUAUUUCGUAAAUCUUCAAGGCAUUUUCAAUGUAUUCAAGGCUUUCAGAAGUGUUCCCUCAAUGAUUCCAGGCAUACGAAGUCCUUUUUCUAAUAUUGAGAGCAGUACAAUUCAUUUUUUAUUGCUAACAGACUUUUGGAAUAAUUUUUAACGCAUUUUAAGUGAAUUAUUAAAGCUACUACUAUCCCUGGACUUUUAAAUUAAUUUCUUAUAAAUUCCAGGCUUUUGGAGCGAUUAUCCAUUUUGUUCCUGUGAAGUUAUAUCGUUUUUUCUUCCAGGAUUCUACUUUUUCCAGGUUCAAUGUUUUAUAUAUUUGGGCACCUAUUGCCUUUACUAGUGAAGACUGAUUUCCAUGCAUACUUUCUCUCGAUUAAAUGGGGGAGGCGCCCCAUUAUUAACAUUCUCAAUUCCAGGCAUGUAAGGUCGUUUUUUAUAUAUUAAAAAUAUACGGGGUGUUACAAAAUAAGAUCUAGAAGAAAAGUCAAAUAAAGAUAUGUCCAAAAUUCCUUAACUUUUGAGCUACAGUGUUCAUCUUAAAAAAAGUAACCUAAUCGUUUAAGUACACCUAGAACUUCUUGAAUUAGAUUUGUUAUAUUUUAAUGGCAAAAUAAUGAAAAAAUUAUUAAAUAAAUAAAUUUAAUAAUUUUUUCAAGUAAUAAAUUGACGAAAAAAUUCAAAAAAUCAAAUUUGCUUCAAAAACUGAAUGGGGGUUAUGAAGAUAUUUGUUAUUUUACGGAAAAGCAAUGGCGUACAUAAUAUUUUUCAAAAAUAUCAAGUCAACGUUCCCGUACGGACACCACAGGCUAAAGUUUAAAAAUCUCUUACAUGAAAAAAUGGCUGUAGAUACUCACAACGGGUAUGUGCUAAAUUUCUCAAACAAAUGUAAGAAAGUUCAAAAAUUAAGAAGACACAGCUUUAAUUGAACUUUUAUUGUUAAAAUGACCUAAGGAUCAGUAACGUCCUGUAUACAAUAAAUACCGCAAUUUCCAGGAAGAAAUCAUUACAAUUCAUUGUUAAAAAAGUGAGUCUUAAAUAAUAAUAAUAAUAACGUUUAUUAAUUCCCAAUACAAUUAACAAUUCAAGAUGUACAUUGCUGUAAAUGAUAAUAAUAUAAUUAUGGGAUUAAAUGGCCUACUUUUCAGCAUCCUAUAAAUUAAGAAGGGGCUGUUGAAGCUACGAAGUGAGCUGUUUAUUUAUUUUUGAUUUUUUUUUAUAAUCAUAUGUAUAAGAAUCUAUUUACAAAAUAAACAGGGAGAAAGAGAGAAAUAGAACAGAAAGAGAGAUCGAAAGAAAACAAGGCUUAAAAAAAGAAGAGGAAGAGAGACGAGAUAACACUAUAAAUGCAGCGUUCACACGUCACAUAUUGUCUAAUUAAAUAGGUUACAUAUUAAACAAACAAAUCAUUUUGUUAUGAAAAUUCUUGCAGCUUUUCAAUGUACUGCCUGGACUAAACAAGGAAUCAAUCCAACUGCCUGGAAGAAAUACUAAAUUUUCCAGUUGCCUGGAUAACAUAAAUGAUACCUGGAACAAAUCACUGCAACUCAUCAUCAUUCCAAAAGGUCUUUUGAAUAUUCGAAAGAAGCCUUUAGGGGUCAUGCAGACUUUUAUACUAUCUCGUGUGUUUUCCAGGAAUAUUCAAGGCGUUUCCUGAAUUUAUUCCAGGCAUCUGAAGUUCUUUUCUUAAUAUUCAAAGCAGUUGAAUUAAUCGUUUUUCUUCCAUGUGUUUUUUAAGUCAUAUUAAGAUUUUAGGAGUAAUUUUUACCUUUAUUUAACCUCUUCAGUCCCAAGGAAUUGUUUUACUUUUUUUUUGUGAAACUUUUAAUAAAAUAGGUUUAUUAGGAUUUUAAAAAAAAAUUUACAAAAAAAAAAUACUACAGAAAAAAAUAUGACAUGUCCAGUAUUUUGGACAAUUGGACUUAAGUCUCUAAUUAUGAAACUCAAAAAAACAUUGCCUCUCUGGAGAAAUGCAUAAAUAAAGCUUACAUUUCACACAAAAAAAUCUUGUUUUCUUUUGUUGUUGGAAUUUUUGUUAUUAACACUGCAUAUUGGAAGAUGUUCAUUACCAGUGGUCCUGACAUCUUUUGGUGGCAUCUCCGACUUCUUGCAUUUUUUAGCAGGUUGACUUGUUUCUUCAUCUAAUGAAGUAGUUAGAUCUUGAAAACCUUUUGCUUGUGCCCCAAGGGAAGAGAUUUCCCGAUAUACAGUUUAAAUUCAAGUAAAUCCAUGAUAGAGUUUUUUCUAUUUCCACGAGCGAAGUAGUUUUGGCGGUAUUCAACCCACGAAUUUGUAAUUGCCAAGUCCACAAAAUGCUAGAAAACUCUUACCGGCCAUUUUUUUGUUCGCAUACAAAUGCGAUAGUAAGAUAUUAGUCUAUCACACAUGUCCACUCCUCCCAUAGAAUGGUUGUAACUAGUGACAGACUUUGGACAUGAAACAAGAAGGUACUUAUUAUUUUUCUUGUCCCAUCUUCGUACUUCUCUACUGGCGCAGAGCCUGAAGAUGUUGAUGCCAUUGUUACUGAUCUAUUGUCCAUCCAUUUCAGAAUGGUCAUUUUUUUGUCUUCUCGCAUAAACUCGUCAAAAGAACCACGGCCAUUCGAGAGGAGCUCUUUAUCAUUUUUUAUUUUGCUCCUAAGAUCUCGCGGAAUUCUGUUGUUCAUAAUUGUCCCUGUUCCCAAAAUUCCUUUUUUUGUAAAUGAUCCAGUAGCUUGACUGAAGUAAAGUAACGAUCAAAAUAAAUUAUGUGCCCUGGCGACAAAUCUUCUGAAAGCUUCUUUACAACCGAUCCACCUAUUCCUAAAUUUUGAUCGGGAGAACCAUCUGGCCAAGUUUUUGCACCUUGAUAAAUCAUAAAAUCUGAAACCAGUCCGGAAGGUGUAGCUAAAACAAAAUUUUUGAGUCCUACUGCAUUUGGCUUGUUUUUAACGUCGGAGAGCAGUAGUGCCUGUGAAGGGGAUCAUCUGCUCGUCGAUGCUCAAUUCUUUGCUCUUUGGUAAAGUAAUACACUUUUUACGAAUCGCAUCGAUGAUAGGUUGAACUAUCCAUAGCCGAUUUGACUGCUUUACCUCAUUUGAAACACUAAGAUUGCUAACAACAUGUAGAAAAUUUCUUAAUUUAAAAAUACGGUCUCUAGGUAGCUGAGUAAUGCAAGAUAUUUCAAUUCCCUUCAUAAAAUACAACCGAAGCCGUGGAAGUCCAAAAAUGCUCAUUAAAAUAUGUAUUCCAGUCAACAUUCGAUAUUCUUUGGCUGUUGCCUUUAGUGUUUUUUUUUUCAUUUGCUUGCAUGGCACGAAUAUUACUUUCUUCUGUUCUGAUAAAUUUUCCCAAAAAUAAUCUGGAAGGUAUUCAUAAAAAUAGUUCAGGGGUGUCCCAUACUCAUGAUCAUCUUGUAACUGCCAUUCCGGAUCAAGGUAGACAUCUUCUCGACUUUCAAAAACAUUUCUUUUCCAUUUUACUUCUGCGGUUUUAUUUUUUAUUUGCUCCUGGAGAACCUGCUCUUUUAUUCUGGAUAAGGGAACAUUAUCGUCAUCAGACUCCUCUUCAAUGGUAUCAGAAACCGAAUCUGCGUCUGCCGGCGCCGGCUCGUCGUCUUCAUUAUCAUUUGCCUUAAUUGAUUCACUGUUUUCGGUGGUGAUUUCCUCAUCAUCAUCGCUCACGUAGAAGUCACUGUCAUUUAGAAUCUCUUCAACAUCUUUAUCCGUCAGUGGUUGCAUACCAUCUUAAAAAAAAACGAAAUAAUAACAACAAUAAAAUUUAAAAUUUUUGGGUAAAAAGUAAAAACUUGAACUAAAUACAGUCCCGACGCGACGUCCAAAAUACUGCACAAAAUCAAAAGCCGAACAAUCUGUAUGCACGUCCAGUCCGCUGCACGGCGGGCUCCAAAUCACGUUAAGUCGUCGUGAGCCCGUACUAAUAUAUUUUGAAAAAUGUACAGCGGGCUGGACGUGUGAACUGAAGAGGUUAUUUCAUUUCAAGCGAAUUACUACAGUUACUCCAAUUCCUGAAGUUUUGAAUUUAUUUCUUAUAAAUUCCAGGCUUUUGGACCCAUUUUCCAUUUUAUAUAACUUCCUUUCUUCCAGGAAUGCCAAUGUUCUUUUCUACAUUUUCCUAUAUUUUUUAAUAUAUUUCAGCCCUUUUAAGGUCAUUUUGUAUGUCUUCCACACUAUUAGGGAAACUUUAAUUUAUUCCCGGAAUUUGGGCUUUCUUCCUCGUCUGUGUAGUAUUUUGGGGCAUUUUGGUGCUAUUUUUUACAAUUUCAAGAAGUCCUGAUGUAUUAAACAAAAAUGGUUAUAAAAUGCAAAGUGAUAAAUAAUGUCUUGCUCUACUAUAGUUUAUUUAUGAACGACUGAAAAUUUGAAUGACAUAUUUGCCUCAAAGUCGAUAUACCACCACCUCUGAACCUAUUAAAAUACUAUUCUAGUUAUAAUAAGAGAGAAAAAAAAGCGGUGUUGAUUGUUCAAAAUGAAAAAAAAAAUUAUAAACGUUACCAUAUUUAUUAUUAUAUAGGCGUCGCUGUUUGUCAGUGUUUUUUGAACGUUAUGUGUUCAGAUAUCUGUGUAGUAUUUACAAUGGUAUUGUAUUUUGUAGAUGUACUCCCCCUCCCCCUCGAUUACCCAAAGAUAUACAGGAGGUUUUAGGUAGGUCAAAAGUCCUUUGUCGGUGUGAAUUAGAAAUGAAUUAUUAAUAUCUGGUACAUGAGGUACAUAUCUGAAUUAUUAGGACAGUCGAGAAGUGCCUUUUGCCCGCCUAAAAAUUAAAAAAAAAAAGCCACAAACAAAAGCAGUUCCUACUACGAAAUUUCAGCUCUCGAUACCGUCAAUUUCUAGACUGAAAAGUAGGAAUUUUUACAAUAUGAUAUUAAAAAAAAAAAAAGAAACAUUUUUGUUCGAUAACACCUAUGGUGUGCCUUUAUAAUGUACAAAAUAAUACUUAAUAUUAACGUUUUUUGACAACGAUUUAGUUAUUUAUAUUUAUUUGUGUGUAUAUACAUAUAUAUAAUAUUAUUAUAUCGUUUUAGAUUGUAUUCGAAUAUUAUUAAUUGAAGCCUUGGGAUUGUUUCGCUUCGUUACAUACCACAACGUUUUUUUCUUUUUAGUUCCUAUGUUAUGCACAGUUGUACUAUUUAUAUUAUAAUUUCACCAGUUUUUUUUUUAGUUUGAAUACAAUCUCAAAAAAAAAGUUUUGAGUAAAAAAAGGAAGAAAAUUGAAACAAAAUGCUCAAAUAACAAUACUUUAUUAAUAGAAAAGAGUGUGUAAGUACAUAGAUGUUAGUUUAAUAAAAAAGAUACGGUUUUCUUAGGCCGAACUUUAGGGUUUGGUGGAUUAGUAGCAGUUUACCUCAAGACAUACACAUUCCCAUAUUAUUUUAUGUUAAAGUUUCUGAGUUUUAUUAAUGAAUUUUAAGCCUGUCUAGAAGGGGUUGUUUAUAGUAGUAUAAACUAAUAAUAUGUACCUUAAAAAUAAGCCACUAUCAAAAUCAGAAGAUCAGUCUGCAUCAAGAAGAAUUUAAUUGUAUUUUUUGAGGUAUCAGUUACUGCACUCAAUUUUUUUUAAAACCUACUGGAGAAACUUAAAUUGCCACAUCUU